UAAGAAGAAGAAGAAGAAGAAGAUGUAGAAAA
This 32-nucleotide small RNA is filed under the name Arabidopsis thaliana (thale cress). RNAcentral describes it as "ATSL105630". Lineage: Eukaryota; Viridiplantae; Streptophyta; Magnoliopsida; Brassicales; Brassicaceae. The record is from RNAcentral.